AGAACAAAAAUACAGAAGGUCAGCUUGGAGGAACCCCCGGGUCGGGAGCGCCGGGCACGUCCGCAGGGGGUAGGGAGGCGGUUGGAGAAUCAGCGGGCAAUGGCGCCGGAGAGGAGUCUAGAAGAGAGAUCCCACUCAGGUCAAUUUCGGGGUACUUAGCCGACACCCUUGUCAGGCCUUCCUCGAAGCCUAAGAUAAAGGAGUCGGACCCCGCGUCCGACAUGUCACGGACGAACUCAUCAGACUGACGAUAGGCCUGUACCGCCUCCGACAUAUCACGGGUGAACUCGGCGGACUGACGAUAAGCCUGUACCGCCUGACGCCCGAUUUCCGCACUCUUCUCAGCCAGCGCCGCCUCUUACCGCUCCAUAAUCUGAGCUUUCGCCUCCAAGACCUUCGCCACAAUCCGGUCGUCCGCCUCGGAGGAGACCCUCAGCAGAUCAGCCUGAGCCUCCUUGUGCUUCGCCUCGGCAGCAAUGCGAGCAGCCUCAGCCUCCUCCAGGCGCGAAUGAAGCUCCUGGUCGCUCGCGC
Molecule: long non-coding RNA, 531 nt
Filed under: Phoenix dactylifera (date palm)
Lineage: Eukaryota; Viridiplantae; Streptophyta; Magnoliopsida; Arecales; Arecaceae
Description: long non-coding RNA (PDAC_LNC007443)
Source: RNAcentral